CAGCAGCCGCGGUAAUACGUAGGUGGCAAGCGUUGUCCGGAAUUAUUGGGCGUAAAGCGCGCGCAGGCGGAUCAGUUAGUCUGUCUUAAAAGUUCGGGGCUUAACCCCGUGAGGGGAUGGAAACUGCUGAUCUAGAGUAUCGGAGAGGAAAGUGGAAUUCCUAGUGUAGCGGUGAAAUGCGUAGAUAUUAGGAAGAACACCAGUGGCGAAGGCGACUUUCUGGACGAAAACUGACGCUGAGGCGCGAAAGCCAGGGGAGCGAACGGGAUUAGAUACCCCUGUAGUCCCUGUCUCUUAUACA
This 301-nucleotide ribosomal RNA is filed under the name uncultured bacterium. RNAcentral's name for it is "partial 16S ribosomal RNA". It matches the Rfam family "Bacterial small subunit ribosomal RNA", at positions 509 to 809 of the family's 1533-position model. The record is from RNAcentral.